AGGGGAACACCCACACUUGUUCUCCCUUCCCAAGCUUUGAUUUUUACUCUAUAAGUUUUGCCUGCUUCAAGACCUUACUGCUAUAUGGACUCGGUUUGAAAGCCAUUUGAUUUUAAUCUGUAACUUUCUUUGGCACUGUGUUUUUAAUUGUUUCAAUUCUGGGUUUCGUUUAAUAGUUUUACUGUGUGUUGGUCUUGGUUAAGGUUACACUGGUUUGGCUUUUGGUCAUUGCUUUAGUAUCAAUAAAGUUAUUUUUCUUAUUUUUGUUUAUUGAGGAAACCUA
Long non-coding RNA from Patiria miniata (bat star), 283 nucleotides. RefSeq lists it as uncharacterized. The transcript has 2 exons. NCBI's taxonomy places the organism in Eukaryota, Metazoa, Echinodermata, Asteroidea, Valvatida, Asterinidae. The record is from RefSeq and is a predicted model, not a curated record.